CAGGCUUAACACAUGCAAGUCGAGGGGCAGCAUGGUCUUAUCUUGCUAAGACUGAUGGCGACCGGCGCACGGGUGAGUAACACGUAUCCAACCUGCCGUCUACUCUUGGACAGCCUUCUGAAAGGAAGAUUAAUACAAGAUGGCAUCAUGAGUCCGCAUGUUCACAUGAUUAAAGGUAUUCCGGUAGACGAUGGGGAUGCGUUCCAUUAGAUAGUAGGCGGGGUAACGGCCCACCUAGUCUUCGAUGGAUAGGGGUUCUGAGAGGAAGGUCCCCCACAUUGGAACUGAGACACGGUCCAAACUCCUACGGGAGGCAGCAGUGAGGAAUAUUGGUCAAUGGGCGAGAGCCUGAACCAGCCAAGUAGCGUGAAGGAUGACUGCCCUAUGGGUUGUAAACUUCUUUUAUAAAGGAAUAAAGUCGGGUAUGCAUACCCGUUUGCAUGUACUUUAUGAAUAAGGAUCGGCUAACUCCGUGCCAGCAGCCGCGGUAAUACGGAGGAUCCGAGCGUUAUCCGGAUUUAUUGGGUUUAAAGGGAGCGUAGAUGGAUGUUUAAGUCAGUUGUGAAAGUUUGCGGCUCAACCGUAAAAUUGCAGUUGAUACUGGAUAUCUUGAGUGCAGUUGAGGCAGGCGGAAUUCGUGGUGUAGCGGUGAAAUGCUUAGAUAUCACGAAGAACUCCGAUUGCGAAGGCAGCCUGCUAAGCUGCAACUGACAUUGAGGCUCGAAAGUGUGGGUAUCAAACAGGAUUAGAUACCCUGGUAGUCCACACGGUAAACGAUGAAUACUCGCUGUUUGCGAUAUACUGCAAGCGGCCAAGCGAAAGCGUUAAGUAUUCCACCUGGGGAGUACGCCGGCAACGGUGAAACUCAAAGGAAUUGACGGGGGCCCGCACAAGCGGAGGAACAUGUGGUUUAAUUCGAUGAUACGCGAGGAACCUUACCCGGGCUUAAAUUGCAGAUGAAUUACGGUGAAAGCCGUAAGCCGCAAGGUAUCUGUGAAGGUGCUGCAUGGUUGUCGUCAGCUCGUGCCGUGAGGUGUCGGCUUAAGUGCCAUAACGAGCGCAACCCUUGUUGUCAGUUACUAACAGGUUCCGCUGAGGACUCUGACAAGACUGCCAUCGUAAGAUGUGAGGAAGGUGGGGAUGACGUCAAAUCAGCACGGCCCUUACGUCCGGGGCUACACACGUGUUACAAUGGGGGGUACAGAGGGCCGCUACCACGCGAGUGGAUGCCAAUCCCCAAAACCUCUCUCAGUUCGGACUGGAGUCUGCAACCCGACUCCACGAAGCUGGAUUCGCUAGUAAUCGCGCAUCAGCCACGGCGCGGUGAAUACGUUCCCGGGCCUUGUACACACCGCCCGUCAAGCCAUGGGAGCCGGGGGUACCUGAAGUGCGUAACCGCGAGGAGCGCCCUAGGGUAAAACUGGUGACUG
This 1430-nucleotide ribosomal RNA is filed under the name uncultured organism. RNAcentral's name for it is "16S ribosomal RNA". It matches the Rfam family "Bacterial small subunit ribosomal RNA". The record is from RNAcentral.